This is a long non-coding RNA of Motacilla alba alba, 37631 nucleotides long. RefSeq lists it as uncharacterized. The transcript is spliced from 28 exons. Lineage: Eukaryota; Metazoa; Chordata; Aves; Passeriformes; Motacillidae. The record is from RefSeq and is a predicted model, not a curated record.
UGUAAAAUUCAUAACCUGAGGCAUUUUUGAAGAUUCAACUUCAUGCAAGCAUCAUCAGCAUUUGCUCUGGAUAUGCUACUGCAUCUCUGUAUGGCUACAGACCAAUAGUAGUCUGUUUGCUCUAGGAAUGCAUGUUAAACUGUGGAUGGUUGGCUUGUUUUGUUUUUUUGAGGAACUAGGAAUGGCAGAAGUCAACAUUAAAUUAUCACUACUAUUCCUAGCAAAUUUGAAGCAUUUAAAGCGUGCUUAUACUUCCACUGUUGAGCACCAAACAAGCCUGACAAUCUGAGGUGCUAUCAUGCAGUAGAAAAAAAUUUAUGAACAUAUGCACACAGUUUCACAUAAAAUAAAUAUUAAGAUAAUUCUACAGUAGCAAUGCACAUAUUUACUGAAAUUACAGUUUCACUGACUUACAUGUCAGCUGUUUGAUAUAGUUCAUAAUCUUUCACAUACACAGAUUUAUGUCUAGACUUAGUCCACGUGAAGCCAGUGGCCUAAUUUCUGUGCUGUGUGGCCAGGCAAUUACAGGCUCAGAGGAAAACUUUACUUGCUGGUUGUGUAAAAGUCACUAUUUGAAAGGCUCUUACCCAAUGAAAUGUGUGCUAGCCCAGCGUCAGUGUCAGUGGGAUGAAUUCGAGCUGUUUCAGUCGGCCCGUGUCCACUGCCAUGAAAUGACUUGUGGUGCACAGUGCCUACAAAUGGGAUGGGUGGCAUGGGGAAAGAAAGGCUUUUAUGUAACAAUUUCUCAUUUUGACCAUGAUGGAAUGAUUCCAAAUGUUUAAACUGCAUUUGAACUGGUUUUGAGAACAGAUGUUGAAGGAUAUAAAGAAGUAAUCAGAAAUGACUGGAUUACUGUGACUUAGUGGCUUCGUAUACUCGACAGCAUGUACGUGGUCCAUUACUGCAGCUCAUCUCCUUGCCUGGUCCCGUUGCAAAGGAGAGAAUCAAUGUGCUUGCAUGUCUAGUUUACAAGAUGUGGUCAGAGGGAAACACAGAUUGUACACCAGAGAAAAUUCAUAGAUAUAUGAGUGGGUGGCAACAAAGUUAGUGAAGCUUUGAGAUUCUCUCUGAAACAGGCAGCUGGCUUUGGUUCAUGCUUAACCAAGCCUGCCUAUUGAGUGUAGCCUAGAGCAUAUUAUUACUGCUGUCAAGACAAGGCGUGUAAUCUUUUUUUGUAUUCCAAAUGUUACUUGCACAGCUUGGGAGGACACAGUUCUAGAUUCUUUGAUGGAAGUGUAGCGGCACAGGAAUCUAAAGAGAAACUGGUUUGGUAAAACAGUAUUAGCUUAGCUAAAGCUCUGAUUCCUAAUAAUUCUUCCUUUAGAGUCUGUGAAGUACAAGGCAGUGCUGAACAACUGUGGCUCUGCAUUUAAGUACUGUGACAGUGAAUUAGUGAGCAAGAGGGAGCAUUCCGAAUGAGUCCCAAAAUAGAAGGCAGUUAAGCACGGAAGUCUGAGAAUUUAGCAUUAUAUGGAAUCCUGAGUUCAGCCUGUGCCUUAAAAUAUCUGAAUGCAAUCUCUUCAGCCAUUAUUCUGUUAGCUCAUCCCUGCAGUCAAUUAGUAAGCUAGAAAAGCAAACGGAAUGAAAUGGAUGUCAAUACUGUUGGUUAAGGCCUUUAAUUGUUUCUUUUCUUCAGGUUGUGUUAUUAAAGUCUUUGUCACGAAGACCUGGAAAAAUGAAUAGCUGAGACUUUCAGCGUUCCUGGUACAAAACACACCUUGUGAACCCUUAAGCACAGUACAGAAUACUUUACAUUAAUGUUUUGGAUACUGUAAGCAAAAUCAAAGGUAUUUCUUAGGAUAGUUCUAACUAGUCCAAUAUAUCACUUAAGAAAGAGCUUACUUUCACUUAAUGAUGCAUGUAGAAAUGAGGAUUGACAUGUGAAGAGCACCAGAUAGGUGUUAAUUAUAUUAUUAUACUUACUACUGGCAAAACUCUACCAGGAAAAAAAAUGCUAUUUCUUUUUUAGGCUUUUGGUUAAUCGUGCUUGUUUAAAUUAGUGAUGUAUGUUUAGAGGGACAACAAUGUAGAGAUGUGCCUAGAUAUGGGCAAAAUUAAACUCUUGGAAGGAAGAAAUUGGAUAUGAUGCUACAUAUGCUCUUAAUAAAUGAGUGGGGCAGAGCAAUACUAGGCCAGCUCACCACCUUUUUAAGCACAGAACAAAGGCUCAGAAUUAGUGACCUUGUUAAUGGGGUGGGGUAAAGGUUAUUUGAUUUGGCAAGUAAUAUUGAUACCUGUUAAAGGAAAUCCUUGUCUCAUAGAGCAGGAAUGCUAAAAUUCACACUUCAAGUCGACUUUGGGACAGAAUUUAAGUUCUUUCACUUAGGAAUAAAGAAAGACAACUAACUAUAUAAAAGAAAUGUAGCCCCAACAUUAGUUUAAAAAAACCCAAACCUCAAACCACUACCACUACCUCAACAGAUUUUCAAUAACGUAGCCAUUAAUUGUCCCCGACUUCUAGACAAAGCAAUGUUACUCUUGCAUAGUUAAACCUCUCUUUGGAUCCUUUAAAAACACUAUGAAAUUCUGGAACUAUGAGGCACAGAAAAAUGAGAUGGAGAAUGUGUAUAUCUUUGCCUUCUUUGUUUGUUUACUUCAGCCCAAUGGUGUUGAGAAAAUAGCAUAUAAAUGAAGAAUAGUACUUUCCAUCUUCCUGUUUUGCUUUGCAAAUAAUUGUGGGAAUAGGAGAAAUCUUCAUUUUAUAAAACUUCCAAUACUACAUUUUCCAAUAGAUAUAGGAAUAAAUAUGUCUAGGUCAGGUUAAAACUUGAGACAAAAAAUAAAUUUAUAUAAUAAUGUUUCUUAGAUAACACUUUCCUGGUGUUUAUUAAAGAAAAUACCAUAAAGGAGAAAAUAAAAAAAAUUAAAAAUUAAAAGUGUGGAUAAUUUUCCUUUUUUUGGAAACUCACUUCUUUCAUAGCACUUCUAAGGAGUUAAUUACCUGCCUUUCACUCAGACCUCUCAAAGGGAAAUCCAUGUAAGAAAAGGCUCCUGAGAGCAUAAGAGCAUAUUGAUGUGCCAGUGCCAGCGAAGGGGACGAGUUUAUGGCACAUCACAAACAGAAAACUAAAAUGACUACCUACGUUUAUUUAGCUCUUGUGGUGCUUGCAAAUUUCAUGUAUGCUUAAACUAUUCCUUUAUUACUCUUUUAAUUACACAACUAAUCUUACAACUUCUAUGUGGAUUACUGUGAUGUAAUCAUAACUGUCCUAGCAAUUGCUGCACACUUUCUGCUUAAAAUUUGUCUUCUAUGUUCACAUACUAUUACCCAGGGCUAAGUGUAGGCAUAUGUCACGAGGUGUGGAGUGCAACAAACUUUAUCGUGCUAGCUGUUUUAUUAAUUCUGGACCCUGGGAAGACUUGCCGUCAGUGAGAAAAGAGUGCUCCAGGGGAAGGAGGUUCAUUCCUGUUCAUUAUGGCCUGCUGUUUUUCUUUUCCAUCCUUCUCUUAUGAGGAGAAGUCUGCCUUAUGCCAGCUAAUGUCAUUGGUACCUUGAGGAGAAGAAAGCCCUACCUGUGCAGAGCCAGCUCUUAAGAUCAGACCUCAUUUCCCUAGAGGAGAUCAACUUGGAUUAUUUGAAGUAAUAACAAAAUGCAUUAUGUCUUUACAUUAAGGCUAUGAGCCCACAAGUGGAUCAACAUUAUCGAUCUCUACACCUAUGCUAAGUCCCAGUGAUUCUAAUUAAUCUUGAUUGUAGGAUCCAGCUUAUUACACUUGAUGUUGUUUCUGCAGAUGAGCUGCCCAGAUGGACUCUCAUGCUUUCAUUGACUCUACUGAAGUGAAUAGGGCCUGGUGCAGCCCUGGUAACAUCAAGACCUUAUUUUCAACAAUGUAGAUAAGAGAUCAGUCCAAGCGAGCACUGAUCUGGAUAGUUUCUGGUCUCAUUGCUUUAUUUCUGUAAAUUGCAAGCACAUUACUUCAACUGGUGACUAGGGGAAAAUAUUUCAGUUUGUUACAAAAACAAGGCAAGAUGACAAAUAUGCCAUCCUGUUAUGAAGAAGGCUGAUUUCCUGAAGGAAUGUAGGUAGCUGGCUGUGACCUAAAGUUGCUACGAAUAAACAUCAGAAAAUUCAGGCUCAGGAGAUAAUUGAAGAACUUACUUGUGCAGUAAUAAGGUGUGCAACUUCCUAUGAUUCUAGGAAAACCAAGUUCCUCCAAAAAGCUUUUCAAAUAUAAAAGAGUUUUACAACUUCAGCUAAAACCCCAGUCUGCAUUCGGAGGAAAGGGAAAUAUAUUGCAAGGCAUGAGUCAGACAUGGCUUACCCAGAGAAAUCUUUGCAAGAGAGCUCUGUGCUUGAAAGGCUGCUGCAGGGGUGUCUCUUGCAUGUUUGUGAUGUGGGGUUUGACCUGCCUGUGGGCAGCCUGUUGCUUCCAGAAAUACUAGACUGCAGAUUUGCUAGCAGCUCACAACAGCUUCUAAAGAAGUCAGAAGAUUGUGUCCAUUUUCUUCUGCAUCAUGCUGUUGACAAACUUGUCUCACCUUGUGUUGUGGAAGUUGAUGUGUGUGACUUGUGAACUUCUGGUUGUCCUCAAUCAAUUUGAACUUGAUGUUUUGAAAUCUGCAGCAAAGACUGACAAAACCGGGAAGGAAGUCCUUUGUAUGAUGUGUCUGGUGACACAGCAUUUAUACAUCAGUGUUUUCUUAGCUCUAAUAUGUGUGUGGACACAUAAGUAACUAUGUUAAAUAGUCCUGAAACAGACUUCAUCAGACACUCAGUCUUUGAUGGUAAUGAUUUCUGGUCAUGAUUAACUUGAUGGCUGCUUUUUUUUCUCCAUGUCUUUAUCUCUUCUCAGAGACAGUAGCCUGCAUAUGUAAGUAACUCUGUCAGGGAUUGAAGUCCUAAGUAGUUAUUAACUUGUACUUAGUAGGCAAUGUCUCUGAAUUAAAAGGGCAGAUCUAUCUUCAUCUAAUGAACACUUAGAACAAGAGUUACCUGGCAGGUUUGUAGCUAGCUCUAAUUUCAUUCUUGCUCUGCUGGGACGGACAUCCCCAGGAGAGAAGAGAGCUUAAAAACUUUCUGAGAAAAAAGACAAUUGCAUCAAACAAUAUAAAGAGAAAAACAUUCCAAAAAGUUCUGAUACCAAAUAUGUUAGUACUUCCCCCUCAUUCUUCCUUGUCUUAUCUCUCUCACCUUCAUUUUUUUUUUAUUCUUAGGCUGUGGCAAACUUGCUGUCAUGUAAUUUAGUGCAACUUUACAUUGCUUUCAUUUAUGUUCUGCUUAUGAACCCUGUGGCUCAGAGAUGGCUUGUUACAGUGUAUUCCCCUUAAUUAAGUGUUAUUUAAGCAUAAGAGGAAGUAAGACUAAUCCCUCUCUCUCUUCUUUCCUUCUUUUUUUUCUUCUUUUUUCCCUUUCUUUUCUUCUUUCUCCCCCAUCCCUGGAGAGGGAUAGUUAUAACACGAGUGAGUAGGGAAGUUAAUCACACUUCACAUUUGGGAUAAACCUUUUUAACUACCUGUAAUUUCCACACAUUUCAGGCUCUUCAAACGCGUUUUCUCCUGUGUGAAAGAAUCUGCUGGCGUUUUCAUGUUUUCUGAAAAAAAACACAAGGUAGAAAGGCUUAGGUGAGAUUUCUUACGUUAGAUUUCUGUUCUGAAGCGUAGUUACAAAGCUGCUUGUGGAGUGACUUCUGACUGGAAAGUGAAGUGAUUUGGCCUCUGAGAGAUUAAUUAAAUUCUUGUGCUUCUCUUAGUUUCCUUAGAUACAUAGGUGCCAGUGAUUUCUUAAAGUGUAAAGUGUGUUCUUGUGAGGAUUUAAUGUCAUGGGUUUUAUGUUCUAGGGCAAACGCUGGAGGUCUCAAGGACUAAGCUGAAUCUGUUUGGGUUAAGUUGCUUGAAAUGGAUUCACUGAAAUCCCACACUGUCAGUCUGGCCUUGGCUUUGAAUUGUUUAUCAUCACAUAAUGAAAUCUAAAACACUCAAGUUUAUUUGUCUAGCAGGUAGUUCGCAGUUAGUGAACUUGUUUGUUCUUUAUAAGAAAAAUGAGCAUAGAAGCCACUGAAAAAUGUGGGGGAAAACGUUUUGAAGCCUUGAUCUGUUUUCUGUAGCUACCCUGUCAAGGAGCAGUCAACCAGAGGCAAUCGCUGAGGUGGACUUAAUGGAGGAGAGAUCUGAAGUAUACUGGUUUGAUAUUUGAAAUGUGAUAAUGUGGAUGUUCUUUAUGUUCAUUUAUGCUUUGCCUGCUGCAGUGUUAACAUGUUAGCUUUAAUGAAGGCAGCUUUUACACAAAUGCCAGAAGUGUCUCCAGCUAAUGCAGCAUGCUCUCAUUCUUGGCUUGUUCUUUGCUUUCUUCUCUUGCCUGCAUACACCCCUCUUCCCCCUGGAAGCAGUGCAGCAAUGGAGCAAGGCAUAAAAAUGAAGUGUAAUAAUCUCAAAACAAAACAAUAAGGUUUACCCUCCUCCUGUCCUAUAUGCUUUCUCUUCAUUCUGAGGGUCCAUCUAGUAAGCCAUUGAACAGCAAUGUCCUUAAUGACUAUUUGAUUGAGAUAAGAGAGAUAAAAGAUGAGAUUAAUUGAACCUGUGCUAAAUGUGGUCAUGGUAAUGAUGGACAUGAUGGGGAUAUAUCAACGAUACAUCUUCAUAAACUUUAGAACCAUGGCUGACUGCUGUAAGAGAGAAAGGCACAAUUGCCUUAAUAGUUGUAUAAACAGCCUAGUGUUUGGGUUUUGUUUAUCAUUAAUCAUGAUAGAUAAUGGUAGCAGUUCUUGGAAGAAAGCACGACAUCUAGACAUUAAAAGCAUGGAUUUUCACCAUGGACCUAAAUACAACAGUAAAUCCUAUUGCUAUUUGCACCUCCUAUGCAGGUAGAGGUUGAUUUAACAUUAGGAAAGUUCAUUAAUUGGAAGGAUAUUAAAAUGUAUACUGUAUUAUGAUGUUUGCAGACUUUAGAUGCUGUAGACCGUUCAUGGUGCUUAGAUUAUCAUGCUUAUCAAUCAGAAAUAUGAAUAUUUCAUGAGUAUGGUAUAACAGCAGUAUUUUUAAAGAAAAAAGCAGAGGCCAGUUGAGGAUUGCUGUUCACAGGCUGUCCUUAACUGUGUUUAUUUCUUCCCCUUUUCCCAGCAAAUCCAGUAUUAAAGAAGGAUUGUAAGGCCCAUGUAAUCAUUGAGGAUUUACUUUCUUGGUGCCUCAGAGCUGCAUUCAGCAACAACACCAUUGUUCUGUUUUUAAACAUACAUAUUACCUUCACAAGGUACAGAUAGAUGCUAUCUGGCGGUACUUUGGAUAGUAACAACUGUAAAUUAUUGCUUGAAAAUAGCAUUAGAAAUACAAAUAGGUUCAACUUUUGGUCUUAUGCUGACAGAAGGCACUGUAGUUCUGCAGCCAUCUUAGGUACAACUGAUGUAAAUUGGGACUCAGGCUAAUGAGGUCAAGUCUCUUUUCCUUUUGUGUCAGUACAAAAUAUUCUUAAUUCUGAGCUUGAUACUAAAAUAUAGAAGAAUUCUAACUAUAUAGUAGUUAGGCUAAAGUUCAGGGUAGGAUAGAAUAAUUUCUGCUGGCAAAAAGUUCUGGAGUCUGGUGAAUAGAAAGCAUAGUGUUCCGAUAAACUGCUUAAUAUUUCUCAAUGCUUAAUGUUUCUCAAGAUUAGGAAAUGUAGAUUGGUGGAUUAAUUAAAUUAACAGUUUAACAGAAGUAGUUUAGAAUUGUACUUUACCUUACACUGGUUCCAGUCUUUGCUUCAAUACAGGCAAAGCAUAGAAACAUCAGUGUUUAUUCAUAUACAGUUUUCCUUUUACUUGCAUAAUAUGCAAGGACACAGUAUUUCUAAGCAUCCUUAGCAUAAAAAGGAAAAAAUAAAUCGGUAAUGGGAAAGGUAAAAUAAUCUUUAUAAAUGGAAUCUUAAUAUUAAAUUGCUCCAUCUAGUGGCUAUCUUCUAAAACUGACAUUUUUCUUUAAGGAUUCUUCUUUAGUGAUUAUGCCUCUUAAGAAUUUAAGAUUGAAUUCUUGUUUUACAUAGGAAGCUCUCUACCAAGGCAACUGCACAUGUGACGAGGUACAAACUUUGAUUUUCCUUCCAGUUUCUUCUGAGGGUUUGUACUGUUUACUUGAAUGGAAGCAAGCCUUAGGUGUCCAAGUGUCUCAACUGCUUUUGAGAUCUUGGUUUUAGUGCCUUACUAUUUUUUUUUCAGGGUCUUCUUGAACCUGGGAAGGAGAAUAGAGAAGCUGGAUUGCAUAAAUAGUACAAUAAGGAUGAAGUCUCUGAUUCUUUGUCAAAGAUUUAAAAUACACAGUGAAUUAUGUACUGAGUCCAGUACAUAGUUAGAUGCAAAGUGAUACAUAGUGAGAUGCAUCUUGUGUAUUAACAUGAGAGAAAUAUCAGUUGCAGAUUGUUUCAUCCAAAUGCCUUAACUAGCACUGAUGCUGUACUUUUCGUAAUAAAUAAUUGAAUGAUUUGUUAAUGUCAAUACACUUUGUAAGCAAUUGGAAUUCUUAUGUCAGUCAAGGUGAAAACACCUGUGUUUCCCAGCUAUGAAAAGAGGAAAAAAAUUCAAAAGCAAAAUGUUCAAGAAGAGAUUUAAUCCAGACAUCUCUGAUGCUUUCUUCCUUUGAACAUUUUGAAAAGACAAAAAAGAAAAAGCAAAAAAGAGAGAGCUCUUGAGGAGUCAUGCAAAUUUCUUGCUGCCCACUGCUGUGAUCCCUUGUGCAGCUGGCUUUAAUGGGAACUGAGGUGCUUAAGAAAGCAAAAUCAUAGAACAAUGAAUCACUUUCAGGGUGAUUGGUAUUGUUUUUCAGUUUCUGAAUAGAGCCCAAGACUAUGCAACCAGCAGCUGAAGUCCUGCAGAACACAAAAAAACAUUUAAAAAUGAAAAGCAAGAAAAAGGGCUAACUAAAAUAGUUUAAAUCCAAAUUUUAAGUAUUAGAUUUUUUUAAAAAGAAAGUUGUCUAGUCUUGAAAAUGUAACAGGUGCACUGGACUUGAUUACUCCCCUGUCCUUUACUUUUGUCAUUAAUUUUGCAGUUUUGGUUAAUCUGCUACCUUUAACUUCCUGGUAAAUUAAUUCUCUCCUCAUUUCAUGUCUAAAUAGUCCUUUAAUAUUAAGAAACUGCUCUGUAAGACUAGAAGGGUUGCAUUGUAUUCCAAGGCUGUUGUUGUUUUUAUUAUUCACUUGAAUAAUGGAACAUAGACCUUGCAGUGCACUUUUCCAGACUUCCUCUUCUCAAUUAGUUUGGUCACUUAAAAUUGCAGAUUGCUAUUCCUAUCUUCCUUUCCCAGGCCACUAAAUAUCACAAUUGUGUAACUUCCCUACAUGCUAAGUAAAGUUUCCUUGCAGCCUGCAUUUUAACCUCAGUUGUUGUACUUUUGGCUUAACUUUCAAAGUUUGACAUACAAGGUAGCACAUCCUAAUAAUAGUGCAUGAAGAAAUAAUUAAUUGCUGUGAAAUGGAAUGGUGCUUUAUCUUAAAAUAGCAGAAUUUUUUUUAAUUAAUUAAAAAUAUGUAUAUGAAAUCUUUUUUGUUUCCUGAGGCAGAUAUAUUGUCAGAGUAUGCCUUAUGAUGAUUUGUACUGGUUGAGUUCUGCUCCCUUCUGGGGUUGCUUUGUUGUGUCUUUGUAGUGAUUUUGAUAUUGGAAAACAUCUUUACCAUUUUAUUUCUCAUCCCAUCAAAAAUGCCUUGUUUUUGUAAUGAAACAUAGUUAUUUCAAGCCAGAGCCAUACAGCAGCAGUCCCAGGAAACAGUCAGCAUGUGCACUGAGGGAGACAAUAUUUGAUGUAUACUCCUCUAUUUUUUUUUCAAGGUGUACUCAUCAGAACCUGGCUGUUAUCCGCAUGCAGCAUAAAUAAAUAUUUGGCAUUGUCCACUUUUUCUUUAGGCUUCAUCUUUGCUUCUCUAAUACUUCCUUGAUUUCUAGCAGAGUAUGUCUUUUUAAAAAUGUUAUGGGUGGAUACAAAAAUGGUGAGCAUGUUUGUCUUUUUGCAGGUUACUGAGAAUACCAAUGCUGGUCCAUUUGAUCUGACCUUUUCCUCUGAACAACUUCCAUAGUGCAGGACCUGCAGAAUUGUUGGGGUUUUUUGAAGAGCUUGUUUUUCUCCCAAAUUUCUGAAAAUUUUGGUCUCAUGCACCUUCUUCAUUAGACCAGUGCCAUGAAGUUUUAAUUCUGACAAUCUGUCUUGUGGCAUUAUGCAUUUUACAUUGUUUACUGCAUCAGGUUGCUUAUUUCAAAAGCUUAGUGCUGGAUUGUGUGACUUAAUUGGGUAAAUAACUAUUAUUCUUUUUCAUCAAUAUGUGAUUCUAGAUCUCCAAGCAUGGCUAACCUCUUUCAUUUUGGAUUGUAAUAAAAUCUAAUCUUACUAAUUAUUCAACCCUUUUUGAUCACAAAGAUGUUAUCUCCCUGAAAGAAAUAAAUUCCACACUUUUUUCCUUUUCUUUUGGUUUGUUUUCAUUACAUUCUUACCACUGAUGAUUUUUCUAGUUCAUUCAGGUUUAACUCCUUCUUAAACUUUCUUUCUUAUGAUUCUUAUUGAUUAUCAUAUUCUAACUUCUGUGGUGUUUCCAUGGUUGGCCUUCUCUUAGCUAAUUGAAAAUAACUGAUUUUCACAUCCAUCUCUAAUCAAAAAUAGUGUCCCUUUUAGUGGCAUGUACUGUGAAAAAGAAAACCAGCAUGCGACUUCUUGUCUCUACGUAUUUCCAUGCUAACAGGUAAAAAAAGCAUUCUACUCAGAUUUGUUUUGGUUUGGGCUUUCAACCUCUGAUACCAUAUGAUCUUCAAGAAUAAUUUCAGUCCUAAUAUUGUAGCUAAUCUGCAGUUAUUUUAAUUAUGUCUCUUCCGUGACUGCAGAACAGAUAGAGGACUACUUUUGUGCUCCUUUCUAGAUUUACUGUCACCAGAGCAGAAGUCGACAUUGUGAGGCAUUUUUUGAGUCCAUCAAGCUCUCCAUGUCUGCAUUCAUGUUUCUGUGAAAUUGUGAAUCAGAGCUUUAGAAGCAGAACAUCUGAAGCAGAAUUACGCAUUCUUAUUCCGGACAGGUGGAAUCACAUGGUAUUUAAUUAGCACACCCAAGAAUCCUUAUGUAGAAGUCCUGAAUGUCUCUUCUCUGUUGUAAAGACAACCAGUAAAAGGAACCACUUAAGUACAGAGCAGAGAAGUGACCUGUGCUUGGCUUUUGCCAAGACUUCUGAUACUUCCUGUGUUUAUUGCUAAUGUGAACUUCCCACUGUUUAAUUAAACAUGGCUGCUCAUAGCAUUCUAUUUUCUUUAGCAGCUUCUAAUCACAGCAGUUGUUCUGACACUUGACAGAAUGGCAGCUGGAGAUAUGAACCAGGCAUAGCAGGGAAAAAUUUAGGUGUUCAAGGACUUCUAGAUCUCUCUUAUCAUUUCAAUUGCUUCUCUCUCUCUUUUUUUUUUUUUCUUUUUUUUUCUUCUGUGUUUCAAAACUGAAUUUUGUCCUGUUAUUCUACUAGAGUAGAAUGUUUCAGUUUUCCCUCUUCUCCUGAGAGUAAAAAGUGGGUCAUGAUAUGCAAGGUAAUUUACAUAUCAUAAGAAUGCAAGAAUAAGGGAUUGCAAUGGAAGCAAACAUUCAUAGAAGUAGCAUUUUUCAGUCUACUUUCUGGGUUUAGCAUCAGAUUUGUGUGUUGGAGUGUAGAAUUGGACAUUGUAGGAAGCUCCACCUGAAAGACAGGUUGUCCUUCUGAAGCACAUAGAUCUUAUUUAAUAAUAAUGCUUUUCUGGAAAAAGUGUGUAUAUUGUGCCCACAACAAGCAAGACAAGGAAUUCAACCUCUGAUUAAAGGUCCCAAAAAAGUUCUUGUGGGAAUUGAGCUGAGAUAUAUGUGCAGAUGUAGGUGCUAUAUGUAUCAGAAUGUCUUGUGCAAAUCAAAAUUAAAAGUUGGUAGUUACUGUAUUUGAGCAAAUUUAGAGUCUGGAAGGCUGAUGCAUCUGGAUCAUACAAUUUUGUGUCUGUUGAGAGGUAACAGGCCUGUGUUACAUUAUAAAACUGUAGGAGGAUGCAGUGUCCCACAAGGCUAUAAGAAAUGCACCUGACUUACUGAGAAACAGAAACAACACCUGUGGCUUUCUAGCGAUGAGAUUGUUUCCUAAGGUGAUAGGAAGUUUUGCUAAAAAGGAUGGCUAGAUUAUGUUGAACUUAGUUUGAAAUUUGUCUCCUUUAAACAUAAUACUAUGUCAUGUUUGUUUGCUGUAAGACAGUAAUCACUCUCUGCAUGUUCUCCUGCAAAUAGGUCUGCAUUGUGAGUUUCCUGUACACCAUCACAUUUAUUGUUUGCUGUUUCUAGGACUAUUGAAAUGCUUUCCAGCAAGAGACUUAAUUCUACAGCUCACCCACCUUGUCACCAUGUAACUUGCCAUCCUCACAAAGUGCAUAUCUGAUCUUAUGACUAUUUUCUUUUCUUCCACACAAGAGGUGACUUUGAAAUGACCUAAAACAAUUGCUUUACUGUGUGUGGCAGUUAUGAAAGAACACUUGGGUUAUGGUGCUCAAAUACCAGGGUCUGCCACGCAUGUGAGGAUAUGGAAAAUUGUGGAUUCUCAGCCUCUGAAAACAGAUAAAUCAUACCUUCCUAACUUAGUAAAAGCUUGAAGACUUGGCUAAAAUAAGUGGGUAUUAGUUUGCUGAAAGGAAAUUUGUCAGGGCUGACAGGGGAAGCUAGGAAAAUCUCCAGCAAAUGUGUUAAACUUUGAUUCUAAACAACCAAAGGAUAGCUCUCCCCAUUACUUGUGUUAAGUCUCUGUGGUCACUUGGAGAAGAAUAAUGUGACAAAUAACAAUCCAAAUGGAUCAGUCAUGUCAUCAGUAAAAUCAGUCAUAUAAUCUUGCUUGGUUUUGCUCCUUGAUUGGAAAGCUAAUUAAGUAUUUAAGGAUUGUAUACCUUUGUAAUUUUUGUUUCAUAUAAUUCAGAAAGUGCAGUAGGGAAUCUGCUUUUCAGAAAGAUUCAACAACAGCAUACAGGCAAAGGAGACUGCACUGCAGUAUGCAAAUAGUGACUAUGGUCUUACCAUUGCAGAAUCCUGUUUGAAUUGAGUAAAUCCAGUUUAUUGGGCUGAGUAUACACAGAUUAUCUGACUAAUUUAUGUAUAGGAAUGCUAACGUUGUUUUUUGAGGCCUGUCCCUUUGUGCAUGUGCUUUAAAGACGGGACUAUCUCACAGCAUUCUUGUGUGGUUUGCCAAUUAUUUUUUAUUUUAUCCAAUAAGUCAUCUUGGAAGGUAGGGUUGCGGAUAACUUUCCUGUUCUGAGAUGCCCAGAUGCCUAAAGGCUGUAGAAUAUUUUAAGUCAAAGCAUGGAAUCCUAUAUAAAAAAAGGACUUCAGUCAUAAUGCAUCUUUUGCUGCUUAGUGUCAAUGAAUUGUUAGCCCACAGAAAGUCAAUAGGAAAUAACCUGACUGUUAAUAAGCUCAUUAGCAUCAUGUAACUAAAAGCAGAAUCAGGUUUGUAUUUCAAGCAAGUUCAUUUGUAGAAGACAAUUGAAAUAACAGGAGUGGUGGUUUUUUGUUUCACCUUAUGGAGAGAGAUUAAAAAGAUAAUACUUUGGUCCUUACAGUGAGUUCCCUGAAGGCCACUGAUUUAAAUUCAAAAAGGCCAAACUUUUUGGGAUGAAUUAGAAACUUUUCCUAGAGCAUGUUAAUAGCUCUCCAAUGAAGGAACACUCUUCCCUUCUCCCCAGGGCAGUUCACCUUUUCCAGUUUUUUUUUUUUUUAACCUUUAUUGGUGAAGACACAUAAGGCCAAAAUAUCAUUGGCUGUGUAUUUUUCUUACCUUUCUGUUCUUAAUAGGAAGUUGGGGUCCUCAGACUUUCUUAUGUUGAUUUGAUGUUGUUUCUGUAAGUGGAACAAACUUCCUUAAUCAGUAAACCAGAAAAAUGGAUGGAACCUGCUUUCCAAAACUAUUUCCAGAGAUAGUGGAAAGCACUCAGUGGAGGCUUUUGUUAAUUUAAACUGUUGAGUUGGCAGCCUAGGCCACACUCUUCCCCACUAGGAUGGGGAAUACAAGCUUUUCCAUUCCUGCUAUAACCACCCAUUGUGUCACUGAUGACUGCAUGGGUAAGAUGCAAGGAUAAAGGAAGUAGCUGAAUAACUAUGCUUAUUUAAUCUUCUUUUAACUAUUGAGAUUUCAGGAAUAGUGGCAAUUAGAAAAAUUGUAAUUGCAGUCUGGGCAUUCAUAUGAAUUAAAUGUCACAAGUGAAUCAAAUUCUGUAUAAUGAUUUUCCUGCAAGGAUUCAAAUUCUGCUGGUUUGACUUGGUCAGAAGCUGCUGUUAGGAAGACUCCAUAAGAACUCUAGGAUCAACGGUUGCUAUUUGCCUCAGUUCAGUAAUUGUUUUCUUUUAUGCUACUUUUUAGAGUGCUCUGACAAGGAAGGAAUGAACAGCUUAUCUUAUCAAGAUUUAUAGUCAAUAGCUUCUGUAGUCUUGUGAAGAAGACAUCUGCUGUGCAAAUAGCAAGGUUAAAGUGAUUGCACAUGAAGUAAAUACAAACUUCAGCUAGUAUUUCAUCCUGAAAACCAGUCUGAACAAUACUUAGAUAACUUCAUGUAAUGCAAGCCCUUUCAUAAUCUUGACCCAUAUACAAUUUUGUCAAAUCCAAGGUCAGAUAGAAUUUAAAAAAUAAGCUUUAUUUGAACUUCUGUAACCAUGAUUUCACAAUUGUAAGCAUGCUCUUAAAAAAAAAAAAGAACUAGUAUUGUGUUGUGGGUUUUUAAAAAGAUUCUUACAUAAGUCUCAAAGUUUGAUCACUUGUAAUAGAAAAGAAAGUAUUAUCUAUUUGUUUAGGAAAUAUCUUCUAAACCACUGCAACAGCAGACAAAAGGAGUUCAUUUCAAAUUGAUUAAUGUGCUAUAAGUACCUAGAAUUGCUUGGUCUAGUCACUUUGUUGCUUUCUCAUCUCUCUGAAAAAUCAAAUGAAGCAUCUGAAGAUACCUGAUUGAUGCAGUCGGCUUUAUACUGAUAUUACAUUGCAUUUCAGGAAUGUUCAAAAUGGGGCAAUAAUUUUCAAUCUAUGUUCAAGCAUGCUGCAGUUAAGUUUUUCUAUCAGAUUAUACGAAGUCCAUUUCCCAAAGAACUGUGGAUUUUUGUGUUGUGCGUUUGUGGGCAGGUGCUUUUAUGUAUGGACCUUUAUAAAUAUGUAUGAGAAAACGAUGUGUCGGUGAUAUUGCCUACUGUUGUAGUAUGCUGAGGUGCAUUUUUUCCUCCAUAACCCAUACUACCUCUUUUGCUUCUAUAUAAGCUUUAAUUAUUUUAUUUGCUCAGAAGCCAUGAUUUCAUUUCAUAAGGUUUGUACAAAUUUUCCAAAUCUUGCUGCAGAAUGUUUCAGGACCAAAUCCGGUAAUUCAUUGUUGAGAAUGUUGAAGUACAGGAAACUGUAACAAAGAAGAUUAUUUUCCUCCUAAAUAGAGAAUUUAGACAAGAUAGUAUUACUAAUUCCUAUAUUUGUUUUUCUCAGCUUGCAAGGAAAGCAUGAAUUACCUGAAAUUUUCAAUUCUGCAAAGUCUUAGAUGUGGAUGUGAUCUAGCCAAAAGAAGUUCAUGCACCUAAACUUCCUGAAGGUGUAUAAAAAUCUUACUGCUGAUUUGGUUUCUUUAUGAAAGCAUUCAGUGAAAUAAAAACAUAGCCUUUGGUAUCCACAAGCUGUACAUGCAAACUCUGCAGGAGAUCUUGAGCUGCAAUAAAGGUGGAAAUACAGAAAAACUUAAAAAUUCCCUCAGGAACCCCCUCCAGUUCAUAGCAGAAUGGCUGGCUCCUCGCCAUGCUGUCUCUGGCUACUGGCCAGCACCAGUACUCUGUGACCCCUUCUGACACAGCUCACAGGGGCUGGAAGAUGAGUUAAUGCUGCUUCUAGCACCAUUAAUGAAUCAAAUUUUAAAUGUGGAUUUUCAUCCGCAGUGGUGUGAGAAAGUCCAUUGCUCUGAGAAGAAACCAGGAAAGAGAAACGUUCUCUUAAUAUUAGAUUUUGUGUAGCUGAAUAAAAGGUGUCUUUUUCUUCUGGUCAACCCCAAAAACAACAUCGUUGGUGUCUUACAAUAGCAUGAGAAAAGAAAUAACUGAUUUUAUUAGCAUAUUACCAUGAUUUGUAUAGCAUAUCUUGUAUGUGUACUCUGAAAGCUGCCUGAUACAUAGCUUUCAGUGUUGUUCUUUCUUGGUCUAAAAUACAAUGGAAUGUCCUGGUUCAGGACAAAAAAUAGCAGAAUACAUUUAAGCCUGUACUUAACUUCCAUUGACUGUAAUGAGGUUAAAAAAAGGCUAGUAAAUUCUAAUAUGCGUAGGUAUUCUCACGUAGAAAUACUUAGGAAAGAUUAUUUCAAGAUAUUAAUCCUCAGAAAUGGAAUGCUGGCACUCUUAAAAAUUUAUUGAACACAUAUUGAAAAAAGUAUACUGCUGUCUUUUGAGAGCAAAGCAAUUGUGUCUUGAAAAUCUGGAAGUAGAGCACAAACAGGAUGAGAUUAAUCUCAAGAUCAUGGAUGUAAACCUUAAAUAGGGUCUCCUAAUGAUAGUGAUUUACCAAAAGUAUUUCUUUUAAGUAGCUGAAGCAGUAACACAAGUGAAUAUUCUUUUGCAGUAUAAAUUGUGUUCAAUUCAGUCUCUAUUUUCUUGCUUAUUGCUGCAGUGAAGGAGGCAAAACAGUUGCAUAAUCCAGUCUUUAUUGUAUUGGUAUAAUUUGCAUGUUUUCUUUAUUGUUUCAGAACCAUCACGAAUUAUUAUGAAACACCUAUUUUCAUGCUGGAUGGAUGAUUGGGACUGCUGAGUGAAUUUUUCCAUAUUUUGGGGGUUGUGUGAUAAGGAAAUAUCAAAAGGCACUCUAGUUUGUCUGUUAUACAGUAAGAGGCAGGAAUUACAGACCCUGGUGGGUGGACAUGUGAUGAGACUUCCUUUGACUGCUGUCCACCAAGGAAAAGUAGAGGUGCUGGUGUCCUGGAGCCAUAUGUGACAUGUGGCCAGGGAAGGUAAGCUUUAAUUGAUACGGAGCUUUUGCCUCCAAAAAUACCCCAAAUGUAGUAUUUCAAGAUAGUUGCAUUGGUAAGUAUUUAACGUUGUAGUUAUGCUGCUGUUGUCACUUGUAGGAAGUAGGAAGGCUAGGGUGACAUGAGGUAUCUCUGCUUUAUGCCAGUAGGAGUUUUGUGAACAUGAAUUUACACUGGCAAAAUUGUUGCUGCUGUAAUCUGUUCUGUGCAUUACGGCUUAACUGGAUUGGUAUAAUGCACAUCCCUGUAACAGUCACAGUAGGAGAGUGCCUGGGUAUCCCUGCAUUGGAGUACCCCAUAGAAUGAGCAAAUGGCAGGCACGUUUCUGUGUGAGACACUAAUUCUUAUUUACUCGUGUUGCUACAGCUUCACAGGGGAGUCUGAGGCCCUUGCUUACAGAGUAAGGGAGAAAUUUAAAAUCCUGGAAUAUCAGGGUUUUGCACUUACAGCUCUCAUCAGGAGGCUGCUGUCACGGCUGCUGGAAACAGGUUGAUGUCUGAAGUGCAGCCAUGGAAAAUAUGUUAGUUGAACGCCCCCUAGCUGAAAUAAUUUUCAGAACAUGGCUAAGACAAAGGUUUCCUGAGGAUUUCAAUAUACAGCUGGGAGGAAUUCCACGUUCAAGCUUCCUUGUGUUUUGGUUUCAGCUCAGCCAAGCAGUUACUCUAAGGAUGGAUACAUUUUAGUUCAUAUACUGAUCAUUUUAGAAAUGUGUCUUGCAUUAAAAAAGCAAUUUUCAUUUUUUGUUCCUGUUAAUUAAGUUGGUACAAAUUUGGACAUAUGAGGGAGGCUGUGCUUGCAAAACUCAUCUGAAAGCUAGAUUGGCAUAGAUGUAUUCCUACUUUAGAGCCAAAUUAAGCAAUCCUACAAAUACAAGUGUCACAGAGCUCUGUGUUUUCUCUGGUGUCAUAUAUUGCAGGUACUUCUCAAAGCAAGAGAGCUCUGCUUUUUCUUUUAGUAAAUUGACUGAACUUUGAAUAAGCCAAUAGCUUUGGUUUCAUCUUCAUUGAAGUGUACAUUUUAAUAUAGAGAAAGAAAAGAAGGAAAACCUCUUUCUAUGUAGUUAGACUUUGACUUUAUUAUAUACACAGGAUGGCAUUGAUUCUACCUCUUCCUUGAUCAGAUUGCUCAGCAUAGAUCCGUCCACAGUCUGUCAACACUGUAUACAUUCAGGAGAAGUUUUGAUGUAUCCAGAAUGAUUUCUACUGCCCAUAUCCUCUCUUUCUCUCCCCUCUUUCUCCAUAAGUCUCAUUUUUAGUGUCAUGUUAGAGAGAAAUACAUGGCCAGUUUAAAAACCCCAAAGCUACACAAAAUUAAACAUCUCAGGAAAUACACUUAACUGCUGCUUGAUUUUGGACAGGCUGUGCUGUGAGAGUUUCUUUAACCAUUAACAAAGUAUCGCUUGGCUAGGAAGUCGGUGAUAGGCUUGUUAAAAUGGUCAUACAGCCCUUCCUUUGCAAUGCUGACAUCACUGCUUACACACAGAACAGAGUUUUUGAGGAUGAAGUAGUAUUGUAACAGUAGAUUAGCCUGGUAGUUGCAAAAAUCAAGCUAUUGAAUAUUGGAGACUUCCUUUCCUGACAUUAUCAAAUGAGGUUUUGUUGUCUUACUGUUUUCUGUGCAUGUAAGAGUGCAUGAGAAGGUGGACUGUCACCACAACUUGUUUAUGUAUUAUUCUUCCUCAAGCAGAGUAUACAGAACUGAGCAGGAGUAAUUGAUAAUAGACUACAGCAAAUGCUGUCUUCAAAUUUACAACAAGCAUAACAAAAGUAUACUCAGUAUGUCUCAACUGCUAAUCAACAGCAGUUGUGAGAAAAAAAACUGACAGAGGUUCAGUACUUCCAUCCCCUCCAAUUAGUACUGAGCAAAAUCUGGUCUCCCUUGUAUUUCAAAAAGCAAAAAGUAAGCUUUUAAGCAACUUGUAAAACAACCUCAUAUUGGCAUUCUGCAGAAUGUAUAAAAGCAGCAAAAAAGACACUACCCCUGUUUUUCCUUUGUGGAUCACUGUUAUGUUCAGAGAUUUCUUUUCUCAUGGCUGCAACUGCAGUAGUCAAGUCCAGAAGCUGAUGUGCUGUCUUUUAAGGCCCCUGUUAUUUUUUUGCACCUUUGGGGAAACCAAGACUGGGAGACACAUGAUAGAGUACCUGAAAGCAUAAGGUAGUAGCUCCUUUCCAGCUGCAGGUACCUGACAUUUUAAUGGUUACAGGUGUAUGUCCAAAAGUACAGUGGUUUUUUUUUUUUUAAAUUUGAAAAUCAAUGAGAUCAAAAAGUGAAAUUUGGAACUGACUUUUGCACAGUUCUUUAUGAAGUGUGAUCAGAAUAUGGUAUAUUAGUAAGACUACAAUAACAAGGCAUGGCAAUUAUCUGAAAAAAUCCCUUUAUUUUCUCACAGGGUUUUUUUUUCCUGUAUUAAUUAUUCUUUACUAUAAUUUGAAAAAGGACAAAAUUACAUUUCCUUCCUUCCUUCCUGCCUGUCUGCCUGCCUGCCUGCCUCUCUUUGGGAAUCACACUGAUAAUAGGCUGCUAAGUAGUAAGGAAUUAAUACAUUUAUCAGCUCAUCCAUUUUAAAGCAGCUAUCUAAAGCAUGCUACAUAUGAAAAUCUCCAACAAUUACACUGGUAUUCGUAGUUUUUGCAUAAAUAAAGAAUUGGUAGGUGCAUCUUUAUAUAUAUAUUUUGUGUAUACUACUUUCAGUUAAGAAAUGAAUUUGCUGAUAAAACACUUGAGAAGAUUCUUAGACUUGAAAAAUCAAGAUAGACAAUAAAAAUAUGUUAGACAAUAGCUUACAUGUUUUAGUCUUGCAAGUCUUGAAUAUGCUGAACUACAAUGAUUAUUGUCAACAUUACUGAACUAUCUACCUGCACAAAAAUUAAACCAAGAUGACACAAACUAUGAAUUGCUAUAUUGCGUUUCUGAACCGUUAUGAACUAAUUCCACUACCACCUACUAAUUAGUUACUGAAGCCUAAACAUAAUACAAUUGCUGUUUUGUAACAAAGUAGCAAACCAUUACAAAGGAACAGAGGAAAUUAAAGUUUAAGCUGUAUUAGUUUAGCAUGUGUUUUAAUCAUGCUGCCAAAUUACUUCUGCGUUUAGCUAAAUAGAUAACUUUAGUCAUGAAAGCUCAGCAAAAGAACUUGACUCAAUACUUAAAUACUUAUAAUCAUACAAGUUUGAGUGCAUAACACUGAGUCAGGACUUUGACUUAUCCCUGCAAUUGGCAUUUUUACUAAAGAAAUCUUUGUUUGGAUCCCAAUUCUUAAAAAAAUCUAGUUCUAGACCCUUCUGUAACAAAAUAUCAAUACGAAGUCCUUCUGUUACAGGCACUGCAAUAGCAUGCUCCUAUUACAAACAGAUGGGUUAUCUAAGACUCAUUAGUGGCUCAACCAUGAGGUUUUGUUGCCGUUAGAGUGUAAUCAGUCAGGAGGGAGAACUAUUUGGUGCUUGUCUAGUGCUUUAGUAAUUCAUUUGCUGUAGAUCCUCAUUAGAAUGGAAAAUUACAGCUGUAGCAGUGUCUUAGUUUCAAGAAACAGAAGCAUCUUUUUUCUUUCCCCUCUUUUUAAGAUAAAUCUUCCAUGCUUGUACGUGAAGGACAUGGACAAUGGAAGAAAAGCAUCAAAUGGCUGCUGGUAACUUAUUCAUUGCAUUUUAGCCAUUGGGGAAGUUCCCUGCUCUAUACAGCUGUGCUGGUUGCUACUUUAAGUUCUCUAAAGUUCUACAGUUCUAAGUUCUUUCUCCUUUAUCAGGAGAAAGAACCAAGCCUGAGAAUUAGUUACUGUUGGAAGUAAUGACAUGUGAUGUUAUGAAGAGUCACAAGAAUUGCAGCAUUUAUUUCCUUUGCAGACUGUUUUGUGAAAAGGGAAAGGAAAAAAAAAUAGGGAAUCUUGAAAAAUCUAAAGUCAGAACUCAUAGGGUUUCACAUUAUUUUCCUACAGAGAGCAAGAAAAUUUGCCAUGAUUUUUUUACCACUGACAUGUUAUAUACUAUGAAUCCACAGCUAUUAAAGUUUAGUGCUAAUCUAACUCAGCUCUGCAAGUGUGAACAGUGUUUGCAUGGUGGAAGAAAUAUUAACAGUAGGCCUCUGUGCUAGAGUAUGCAUGUCCUCUAAUGGAACCACUUGCUUAGUCUCAAGUGUGGGCUGAAGAAGAAAGAAUGUGCAGGCAGAAUAGGUGUCCCUCAGAAGACAGGAUUAAAUGAGAGGUUUAUGUCUCUGAGGUGGCUGCUCUGUGGCUAUUUUCCUGUAAUCACACUUCACCAUAGAGAUAACCAUAGAGCUGUGUUUCCAUAGUGCAUCUCUUGGCUCUCCCUCUUGCUGUAGUCUAUAUUUGUAGUGGGAAAUACAGAUCAGGCAAAGAGCUUCCACAGAUUUGAAGAAAGUUCCCUCUCUUGACCAAGGAGUGUGAAUGGCUGAAACAUGCCAAUGUUAGGCCAGACCUAUGCUGGCCAAAUUCAAUCUGUAGUGUCCAUCACUAAAGCUGACGGACAUGGUCCCAUUUGCAUAACACAUGCAGAAGUUUGAGACUUCACUGCUCCUGGCUGUCAGUCUGCUCCUUGCACUGGUGUUACCACCCCUGAGGCAAAGCUAGCACAACAAGAUAGGUGAGUUUGCAUCUUUACUUAUAUACUUUUCAGCCUGAUGGAUUAAUGCAAAUUCAGCUUCAUUGUUCAUGUAAAUUAAGAUAUCAGGUUUGAACUGACUAGAGAGAGGUGUGGACUUUAAGCUUUCUGCUGUCCUUUCUUCAGGGAACAGCCUGUUGCAAGAUAGGUAACAAAAGGCAGCAACACUGAUUUGCACUAAUAAACUUGUGGAGCCUUCUCUAUGCAAGCUGUAAAUUUGAAUUAUUUUCUUUAGCUAUUAAUGGAUCUUCAACGCAUCUUCUCUAAAUUAACAAGAGCAAAUAAUACUUCUCCAAUAUUCUUAAGAAACAGUUUUUUAGCAAACUCCUGGCUCUUAAUGAUUACUGGGAUAGCUAACCUUGGAUUUAUAUCUAAAGCCAUUACAAUUUUGACUGUCUCCAACUGCCAUUUUAAGUGAUAGUCAGAUCAACAUGCCUUGUAUAUUUAGCAAGUCUAGGUUUUUGGAAGCUGCUUGAGAUUUGACCUUGCUUUUUAAAUUACUCAGAAUAAUUUCACAGGUCUAAUUAGUGUGUGAGAAAAUCACUUCAACUCACCUCAUUUGACAUUAAUCCAUUAAAGUAACUCAUCAAGUUUUUCUAUUGUUAUAUAUUGCUGUCAGUGCUAGAUGAAUAAAGAUUCAAAAAGAGGAUUGGCCUAAACAGAAACUAUAAACCAGUGAAUCAUGUAGUCUUAAUAGCAAAUUUACCUUGGCCAGCAAAUUGUCAUGUAUCAGUUCAAAGUAAAAGAAACCCAGGAGGGACAAAGGUCUGGAGGGAGAAAGAGGAAAAGAAAAUCUAUGCUAUGUUUGUAGAAAACACCAGUUAAUCAGCUAGACCAGUUAAUAACUCUUGCUGCCUUUUUUAUUUGUCAAGGGCUCAAUAUUUUUUCAAUAUGAGGUCUGCUUCAGUGUGCUUUAAAUGGCAGUUUAUAAUUAAUGGUACUUGAGCAUCUCUUAUUUCAAAAAUUCAUACAACAUUCUUGGUUACAAUUUAUACAUGAUUUUAAAGUAUAAUUAACGUUCAGCUUUACAAGAUAUAUGCAAACAGAUAUGCAAAUUUGGAAAUAAAUAUGCAAACAUAUAAAAUGUUGUUGAAUUAAGUAGUCCUUAACAUUUUUAAUGAAAUCAAUAUUUUAUUCAUAUUUUGCACACAAUUUUGAGUACUUAGUGAUUUGGUAGUUCUCAGACUUUUGUGGACCAUGGCUGCAGAUUGAUUCUCUUGUGGCUCAUCAUGUCUUCCACUCUCUUGAACCUCAUACUUUCUUUAUGGAAAACAGGAGCUAAUCCAAACUCUCUAAACUAUUUGGAUUCUUUUCAAUUAUGCUUUGUGGAUAUUUGGGAUAGUAAACUUAAAAUGUUGCUGAAACAGUUGAAAAUGAUCUUUAUAAAAACUUUCAUAUUGAAUCACAUUAAAGGUUUGUCUAGCCCAAUAUCCUGUUCCUAGAAGUAGCUAAAUAAAAAGGGAAAGAUACGAAAAUAUACAUCAAGUAUAUCGCCUAGGUGUUUUUUGAGCACACAACCGAGUCAAGAAAUGCUUGGGUUUUUGUAUAUAUAUGUGUGUGUGUGUGUUUGUGUAUUCUGUCUAUCUUUAUAUAUGUAUAUAUAAAAAGGAGAAAAAAUACGGAAAACUUUUUUCACAGGAAUGUGAAUUGUUGGUUUGUACAAGCUAUGAUCUGUAAAUUUCAUACAGAUCUUCUGAAAAAGUUGCCCUAAAGAAAGGGAUUCCACAUUUCAUUUAAUUUCUAAUUCCAGCUUUUGCAAGUUUUGAGCCAGAUGAAAACUUGGAUUUUUGCUGAUCUGAAUAAUAUAUAUUAUGGAUGUAUACAUAUAUUCUGGAUGUCCCUGACAGUGUUGGUGACACACCAGUUUACCUGUGUCUUUUGAGUGGUAGAGAUCCCAACCCCAGAUACACUAUUACAGAUGUGGUCUAACAAAUGAUGAGUUUCUCCUCCCUCAGUCUACUGAUUAUGGUGUUACUACAGUCCAGGAUGAUGGGUGCUGUCCUCACCAGAUAUAAUGUGAGCUCGUGGCUGCGAGCAAGGACACUGCCUCACCUGCCCCAGCCCCAGGAAAGGGAUCCUGCAAUCCCUGCAGCCCCUGAAGACUGGCAUCCUCUCCUCAAGAGCUCAUACAACCCAAAUGCUACCUCCAAAGGGCAUGUAGUUAAGAUACCCAUAUAAACGAAGUAUAAAGAUGUGUGGAAUUUUUUAUUUAACUGAUAAGACAGGAAAAUCCUCAGGGGUCCUGAGAGAAAAUCAGGGUUCUAGAUGUAGUUGCUAGUAAAUAACUAGCUAUUAGUACUGGGAGACUGAUGGGUGCUUGACAAUUGUCACAGACUGAACUAGGAAGUCAUAAAAUAUUGGUAUUUCAAAGUACAUCCUUUACAGUGUAAUAAGAGAAUGCACGCUGAGGAGAGGCACCAGGAGCAGUUGAAGGGCUUGGUGUUAUAAAGGCUAAAGGCUGAAGUAACAGGCAAAGUGUGGAGGCAGGUUUCCAUUCUGCCUUCAUUUACAUCCAAAGCAUGCUUUAAGGUUGCACAUUGUUUAACUACUGAAAGAAUUUCUGCAACUGGAAAAAAUUGCUGAAAUUGGCUGUUUCUUCAGACACCUAGAGUCCUCCAUCUAAAUUCUGCUGUUAGGUGUGCUUGGACAAGCAUUGACUUAGAUUGAAGGAAUUUGAAUACCUGAGCAUACACAUGUAGAGUGGAUGAGUAUGGCAUAGAAAAUUGCAUUCAAGUCACAAUGCACCAUAGAAUGCAGGAGGUGUACCCUAUUCAGCUUCCACUCUUAGAACCUGGGUAAAUGUUACAUUUUAGACCUCAUGUGCUAGAGAUCACACAAGGUGACUAUCACUUGAAGAGUAAAUGUGGUUCCCUAUCCUUGGUUUGCAAGAUUACUAAUCAAAAUCAAAUUCUUGGGCUUUAAUCCAUUUAGGGUUACUACACAAACUUGUUACAUACAAAAAGAGUCAUGCUGAAAUCUAUGCUGUUGAUCAUAUUGUGCAUUUUAAUAAAGUUUGUAGAUUUGGUCACUUGCAUUUUUUUCAAUUGAACCUAGAAUAUGUUUCAUUUAGUUUACAUUGAUGCAUAAGUAAUCAAAAUCAUAAUUAUAUUGCUAAAGAAACAUCACUUAAAAAUAGGCAUAUAAAUGCUGUUUUGAUCAUUGCAAACUACUAUUUGCUGUGCAGUGUUUUAGUUACGAGAUGUAGAAAAAUGUAUCUGCCUUUGCAGGUGCAUACUCGAAAUGCUGUUUCAGGGCAAGUAGUGCUAAUAUAUUUUUCUGAGAGAUAUUUGUUGAUUUAUUACUACAGGUAUAGUGAGUGAAAAUCAAUACAGCUGCUUCCCUGUACAUCUGUGGUAGUUUCAAAGUUUUCAGAGUAUACUUGACUGAAAAAAUGAAGAGCCUGGUAUACUUAGCAAACAGAGCUGUGCAACACCCUCUGCCUUCAUACCAAAUAACAUUGGUCUUUAAAAGACUAUACCUGUGCAUUUGCUCAUAUAGUUUUUUUUUCUCACAGUAUACCUCAGUGCUGGAUUCUUGCAAACUUUUGUUUCUGUGGGCUGGAUUUCAUUUCAGCAGAUUGCCCAAUCCCCUCUUCCUUCUCUUGUAACUGGUUUUGAACUAUCUCAAAUUCCCCAAUGGCUGUAUGACAAUCUGAAAAUUAACAAUGGCCCCUUACUUGCACAGGGCUAUGUGAUUCACAAAUUCCUUACUUAACUGAUACUUCUUUUCUCCUUACUUCCAGCCAGGCAAUCUUGUGUGCUUUUUAAACUGGUGUAAAGGCAGUAAAAUGUGUAUACAUUGAAACUUUUUCUUCCUGGCACUCCAUCACUUGCAAAGUAAUCUGAGGCUUUUCCAUAGGCUGAUGUAUUGGCAGUAACUUAAAAAAACCCCCAAAAAUAUAGAAACACGAUUUUUGAUUUGGCUAUAAAUUGGGAUUUCUUUCCUUCAGGCAGGCGGUAGGACAUGCCAGCUGGACUUUAUAUGUUGGCUGGUAAAAAGCUUUAGGAGCCAAAAUUAUAAUUAGCUCACUUAUAUUGAAAUAUGUUCUCCCUAGCUGUUUUGGUUUUUUUGCCAGAGCCUGAUGCAAUUUCUGAAAGAUGCAAUUUCCUUCAGCACAGGAAAUACGCAUCAUACUGUUGGCACUGAGCAACCACCCGUGCAGUGGCUGUUGCAGUGCUUGCAGGAGGAGGCGAUGCAUCUGCUCCUGGGCACAUUUCCAGGGUGUCUGGCUGCAGGGCCGGGUGCAGGGGGCUGGCACUGGCUGGGAUUGCUCAGUGCACUGACUGCAGGCAUCUACGCUCCAGGCAUAGGGGGCAGGAAUUGCCCAGACUUGCAGGACAUGCUUUUUAGAAGCAAUCUGGGUGAAAAGCAGGGCUAGUCCAGCAACAAAUCAUCAGUGCAAGAAAGUUGCUUGUAUUUCAGCAGCACCUAGUUUUAUGUAUUAUAAAGAAGUGCAUAAGAGACUCCAUUGAGACCCAGGUGUUACCUAUUCAAAAUCAAUAUUGCACACUGUACGUAAGUGGUGGGAGUGAAGGACUGGUAGGCAUAGCUGAAAGAAAUUUUAUUAAGGAACUUUGACAGGAAACAUGGACUACAGCACAGGAUGCAGAUCUCAAAGACAUAAUGGAUACUUAUUGGGACAAUUAAAGUCUGUUGAGAUGGCCAGUGAGAGUAAAGCUAGUCUAGGAAUGUUUUCCUUCACCCCACUCUGUCACUCUUCUGAUUUUAGCAUAGAUGUGUCCACUGUGAGAACUGGUCUAUAUCUUCUGUAGAUCACCAGAGUUGAGAAAGGGAGUGGAGGAUACUGAGGGAGACAGGAUAGCAAAUGAGAUUUCACAACAAGUCAGACACAGCUCUGCAAGAAGAAUCCAAAUUCUCCUGUUUCACAAUUCAGUGCCAUCCAGUGGUUCAUUUCAAUUUGAUCUGAACUUGUUACUGAUUUUUUCUCCCACUGUUUGGACUGUUUGUUUGCUAGAUGAAUAUUCAAUCUUAUUUGGGGUGGUAAAAUGCUUUUGCCUGAAAGUUCUCCCAGAGUCUGUGUUUGGUUGAUUCCUUUUACUUGCAUUUGUUCUUUCUCUGUUGCAGGAGCUUUCCCAUGAAUGGGGAAGUUUCUCAAAAUGAACCCAUUUUUUAAUUCCAUAUUAGAUAUUUAUGAUGGUUACACAUUUGCAUAUUUUGAAUAUUUUGCUUUGUUUUGUAUAAGAUUUGUCCAACUUUCCAUUUUACUACUUUCUCCCAAAGGAAUAUAAAACUUUCUUUAGGAACAUAAUUUAAUUUGGAUAAAAGACUCAUAAACUUCUAGCAUUGGGGAAAAAUGUAGAGGGACUGUUCCUCCUAGUCGAAGAUGCAAAAGCCUAUUAGUCUGUGCGAGAGCCGUGCGCCGUUGGCAGCUGAGUUUAGCCGGCUCAGCUCUUCCCAGCCGAGGUUUAGCAGGCUCUUCCCCAGCCGAGGUUUAGCCGGCUCUUCCCAGCCGAGGUUUAGCAGGCCAUUCCCGCAGCUUGGCUGAGCGGCUCUUGCGCUGGCGGGGCCGGGCAGAGGCAGCCGCCCUGGCGUUCUCAGGAUGUGCACGCACAGCCAUGGGGUGCUCCAGGGCAAAGAGAGCCCUCUCCGGCAGCAGCCGGGCAUCCGCAGGACUCGAGAGCGUUUUAAAGAGUACUAAAUAAGUUUCUUAUUAUUUCAGCAUGAAAACCUAUAGUAUGUUCAUGGAUUGAUUAACUGAUUUUAUGGACAGCCUCCCUUCAGAUUGAAUUCUCUAACUGGUUUUGAAACUGAUUCCUUGCAGACACAAGAAACACAUGGAGAAUCGUAUUCUUGCAAUCACAGAUCAAUUCAGCUCAAGUGACAUUGAGGAGAAACUGUGCAAUUAUCCAGCUGUACUGACACCAUUAGGGAGCUUGUUCUGGAUCACAGGCCUGGAAAUUCCAUUUCAGCACUAUAAAGUCUGAUUCAUCGAGGAUGAAACGUCACUUUCAGGAAUGCUGUUUAGUGGAGUAUGUAUGUAUGGAAAUUAUGUUCUGGUAUGGAGAGGGUCCUGGGUUAUGUGUAUUUUAUGAUCCACAUAUCACUAAUUCAUCUUUUCCUUUUGAAACAUAACACAUGUUUGAGCUUCACUGAUACGGGUUCCUGCUUAUUAUAGUUAAUGGAUUAUUCAUCCUCUUUGUCCUUGACAUAAUCCUAAGUAUGUGCAUAAAACUCAGAUCAUGUUGCCCAUAAAAACCAAUCAGCCCAGAGUUCUUCUGCAAGGUGUUGAACGUUCACCCAGAGCAGAUGGUAAAGAUAAUGUUUAAUAAAGAGUUAGAGGAUUAGUUGGAACAAAAAUAAGCUAAGAGAAAGGGAUAAUUUCAUUUCAUAUGAAAGUCCAUGACAUUUCAUGUUCCCAAGGACUGAUUAAAAUUAUGCCAAAAGCUGCUCUUUUUGGCCAGUUUGUCCUAAUACUGACCCUGCUUAUGUUGUCAGCUGCUGUAUCUGCAUGUGUUAUUUUACCACUCUCCGAAUAACUCAAAAGAAAGCUCUUCUGAUUCUCCUGUGGCAGGGAAAAGUAAUUCUUAAUUAAAUGGGAAGAGGAGAGAUGACAGGAUUCUGCUAAAUAUGAUGAAUAUAUUUAAACAACUGAUAUCUCAACUGAGGUUUAGAAGACAAGUUUUAUAGAUAAUUUUAAACAUAAAUAAAUUUUAAAUGGUAGUUUUCAGAAUAUGUGGAGUUAAGCUUUGAUUUGCCUUGAAUAUUUAGAUGCUGAAUGGAAAACAGAGCAGGGGAUAGUCCAUAAAUGAUUUUCAGUCUUGUUUUAGGAAAAUUUAUUUUUGCUAUCAAAAACAUAGAGGAGUAACCAAACCUAUACAUUUUGCAUAUUGCAUAACAUAUGUAAUGAAUGUCCAGUUGUUCUUUAAUAAUACUUAUUAAUAGAAAUUGAAUAAAACAAAUCAUAAGCAAAUAUUUUACAGUUAUGGUAUUUCUGGGCUCGUAAUUAUCCGCUACAAAUUUAAGAUUUAUAAAUCAGAAUCUCUGACAAAGUAUAUCAUGUAUGAAUGCUGCAGAAACAAGUAAGUGGAAUUUAUUGUAAAUGCAGUGUCCUUUGUUCUGAACACAAAAUUUAAAUUAUUUGAAGCUGUUCUCAUAAAUAAACACAUGUUCUUUUAAGAAGACAUUUUAGAAUGGUUAGUGGGAGACAGAAGACAACUCUUUCUUUUAAUUGUUAUGGCACAAGAGCAAAACAGGAUCAAAAUCCAAGCUAUUAACUUACUUUACUGAGACUCAGUGGUCACUGAAGCAUAAAACCAGAUGUAAGCAUCUCUGGACUCACUCCAGCUGAAGCUUAAAGCUCUGACCAGUCUUUAAUGGUAGAGAACUGUUAGCUGCUUCUGUAAUGCAGGAAGACAAAAGUAUUCUAGAGUCAACAUGAUGGCUUUUGCACUGAAGUGGGCCAAAGCCCAAACCUUUGAAAACCUCUUGAUAUUUGCUUGCUUGGGUAAUAUAACUACCUAGUACUUCCAGAAUUCAGCUAAAAUAUUCUCAAAACCUGCUCUGCAUUUUAUAGCCAUUUCCUAUGCUUAAGACAGUGUUUGGCUCCCUAAAAUAAACACCCUAAAGUAGUAUUCUGCUGCAGAUUAUUCCUAACUUAACUUAUGCUCCUGUUGUUUCUCAAAUUAGUUACUUUUGAAAAUGUUCCAUUGGGCACUUCAAACAGCUGAGUAUAUUUAAAGUAGUCUGAAUCAACAUAAAAAUAGCAAGACACAGUUAAGAAUAAACUGGAAAUUAAUGAAACCUUAAUUUCACUGACAAUAAUUGUAAAAAUUUUAUUACAAGAUGCAGGUUUAGCUGACUAAUGGUUGUGAAACACAUUACUAUAAAACUUAUUUCCCAAUUUUCUUCAGUCUGCUAAAUACUUGUCCAUACUUCAUUGUAGCCAUCUUUUGAAAUCACAGUGGCAAGAAUAAAGCUCAGGAUGUCUGUCAGCUGAUACACAGUAUCAGCAUGAGAUAGUGCAGCUCAGCAAGAAGAGAGGGUCAUAUCACACAGCUGAGAUGAGACAUAGAUAAGUCUAAAGCAAGUUAUAGCUUUAUCUCAUCUUAACCUUGAACCAGAUGCCCUUCCCAAAGCCCUCCCUUCCCCCAUCCCCUCAUGCUUGUAGUGCACUACAGCUGUGCUGUAACAAGCUAGAAUUAACAAAAUUGGAGAUGGGAGAAAGGCAGCCUUAAAAAGGGUACUUUUUCAUUCAAAACAUGUUUCUGAAAGUGUACAGAUAGAAAUAAAUUGAUUGACUAGCUGAAUUUUGAAAUAGAACAAGCAAGUCAGGUAUGAAAGGACGACUUCUGUUUUAGCACUUCAUGUUAGUAGAAAACUGAUAGCAAUGAAAUGUAUUGUGAAACAAAAUAUUUCUAACUUGUUCAUAUUUUUAAUUUAAAUAAUAUUCCCACCACAAUAAACCCCAGAAAUUGUGGCCAUUGAGGAGUGGGUAGGCAUUCUAAUUUUUUCCCAGAUGGUGAAUGAUUAAUGUACAAUUAAUUUCUCCCAGCACUUGCAAUGUUGUUCACCUUGCAAGUCCCUUCAGUUACUCACUCUCCAGCCUGCAAAGUAGUGUGUUCAUAUCAUUCUCAGAUAAUGCUUUUUUUCACCUAUCUGUAUUUUUUUGUCUUGGUAGGGAAAUGUCAGAAAAUAAGCUUUGUUUUGAUUUCUUCUACUUUGUUUUUUUCAACUGCUGCCUUUUCAAAAGUUUUCAGAAAUCAAAUGUGUGUGGCUGCUUUUUAUUUCCCAUUUUAUCUGCAGUGGUUUCCUAGCUUUCAUUCUCCAGCUCUAGUAUCUCCUUUAAUGGGGUCUCUGUGCUUUUUUUCUCACAAGGUGAACACUUUCUUCAUUUUUCUGUCUGAAUUAUACACUCAUACUUCAUUAAGAGAUUUUUGUGUUUUGGUAGCUCUGGGAUAGGUGAGAUCCUACCACUAAGCAAACUGCAUUUUGGAUGUGUUUCUUGUAUGCAUAGUUACUGCUCUUGACUUGGACUAAUAAAAAAUAUUUUUUUUUCCUAAGGCUCUUAUAUUCAAAUUAAUAAUAUCUUUUUUCAUUGUUAGAUGCUUGUCCGAAGGAAGGUUAAAGUAAUGCUUGAAUAUCAUGAGACAGUAAUUUUUUUAACAGAAAAUCCACAAAUUAUUCAUUAGCCCAAUACUAGGGGAUCUCCAGAAUAAUGCAGUAUACCAUAUAUGUCCAAAACUCAGAGUACAGCUAAAUUUUCUCUUCCUCUCCAACCUCUGAGGUCCCUGCUGAAGAUUUACUGUCUUACCUGCCUGAUAUCUGGGGAAUUAAGUUUUACUGCUUUAAGGAUUCCCAUGUUCCAAAGACUUGCUUCAGUUUUCUGAAUGUGUUUUUCAGUAAAUAGCCAUUUGGAAACGGGAACCAACUUUCUCUGGAAAUGGAUUGGUCAAGCUCUUCAGUCCACUUGAAAACACUUUACAAUUUCUGGCAUAGAUGUGUGAGAAUAAUUUCAUUAUUGAAACCAUUACUAAGGGGAGGAAUUGAGGAGGUGAAAAUGGGCAGAUACUGAUUCUGCACCAGAAGGGAGGUGGGUGGACAAACACACAGAGCUCAUUGCUGAACUACUGAAGUUGGAGCCAAAGGCCAGGGUUAUGUGGUCUGAGAUCUACCAGGGAAGGAGAGUGUCUUCUGUGGAGAGUAUCCUACAAAGGAAGGAGAUUCAGUCCUUGUGUGUAUUUCAGCCUCGGCGGAAACCCAAGGCUCUGAGUCUGUGAAGGAGAAAAGCUCUAAAAGAGCUGACUUGGAAGGUUACACUGGCAGGCAGAAAACAUGGGGCCCUUACCACAGUGCUGCUCCUAGAACAUUAAAAAUCUAUAGAUGCUAGCUGAGAAUUUUGCAAGCAUGUCUGAAUGCCAAAUCAACUGAGGAUGUUCACUUGCUGCAAUUGAAUGCUGGUCUGUUCAUCACUGCCAGCUGUCUCCUUGGGAUCCUCUAGCAACAGCUCCCUGGCUCUUGCGCAUGCAAAACAUUUGAAUUUCCUGUUGGCUCAGAGAUAUUAAGUGACUGAAAAUCAAUAUUUGAAGGAAAGAGAACAGCUGGGAACCUGGAGUUCAGCAUAGACAUUUUGCAUAAUAGGGAAUUCUUGUUUUCCAUGAAACAAAGACAAGAAACAUUACCGUGUGGCCACUUUGCCUCCAGAUUUAAUUUUUUUUUUAAUAGAAAAUGGUGGAUUCUUUUUGGGAGAACUAUCAAACAAAAAAGUGUCUGGAUGUCAUAGCUGCAUCCUGUGAAUGUCUCUUUAGUUUCACCAAUGGUAAAACCUGUUUUGACCUUCUAAUAAAAGAGAACAGCCCAAAUAGCCUGUUUAAUAUACCAGAGAAAGCACAGUGUCUCCAAAGGACCUGGCCUAAGUGAGCACCCAGAAUCCCAGAAAGCCAAGAAAUUUGAAGGCAGUCAGACUUGAUUUAAUUAUUUUUUACUACAAGUCUUAUUUCAGAGAAUGAUUAACGGGAGAAGAGACAUAAAUGGCAAAGUCUUGAUCAAAGAAGCUGCUGUCAGGGUACCAUCUAGAUAAAUUAGGAAAAGAAUGCUCAGGUUUCUGUGAAAGAAGACUAAUGACAUCAAGUCAAGAUGAAAUAGAAAGGAGCAGCAUUGCAGGCUAGAAAUCAUAAAACACUAGCAUGCCCUGACAAGAAGCCCUGAGAAAUUUCCCGAACUGGAAAGUAAUUGGAAUUGGAAAGGAAUUACUUUCUGUAAGUGCCGGGUCUUGAAGUUAUGCAGGACUGAAGAUGACCCAGGCACCAAAUUUGCUUUUUGGAACCUGUCAAGACAAGUGAAGAAAUCUGGAAGCAUCUGAAGCAGCAGCUGUUAGUAUCAGCUCUACACACUGCAGGUGUUCUACAUCUUAUGUGCUCACUCUACUCAACUAGGAUCAGUCCCUUCACUUAAAAGCUCAAACGGUCCCGCCUGGAGGCAAGCAGACAGUGGAUAAAAGGAGACUGUGAAACUAACAGCCAGUAAGCAUUUGUGUAAUUUAGAGAAAUUGUUUACACGAAUGGCAGUUUCCUGGAGAGAACAGUGGCCCUAGCUGAAACCAAGAGAAAGACUUACAAGUGAUCUGAAUGCACUUGUGCAAAGAGAGGCAUCUUAAAAGAGUUCUUGAACAGGAGGUAAUCUGACACAAAGCGUAUUUGCACCAUAGCAUUUUUCAAGAUGACCAUUUGGAAACAACAUUUGGAGGAACAUUUGGAUUGCAUCCUCUAACUAAAUUUCCAAGCUGUUGGUAACGGACUAAAGAAAAUGUGGUCUGCACUGAAUACUAAAGAGCUGCGAAUACAUCCUGGCUGCAGUGGUGUAACUGUGCUGACAUUUGCACAGACGGGCAGAUGGUACCUGGGACACGUCUGGUUGCAGUGCAGACCUGAAGAUCCUAGAUGAAGAAGCCAAGCCACCGUGUUUUGGCCUGAUUUAUAAGAAAACUGCUUCUCAGCAAAUGUAGCCUGUGUUAUCCUUUCUGCUAAUGGAAAAAAUGGGACCUCAGUUAUUUUACUUCUGCCCUUGGGAUCCCACUUCAAUUGCAGCUGUUUGAAUUAACAUGUCUCCUUGCUGCAUGUCCUGGCUGAGGAAAGUGCAAGUGCUGUCAUGGCCAGCAGAACAAACAGAUACCUGAUGUAUUACUUCAUCAGCAAAUUCAACAAGGCCAAGAUGUCUUCAUUUUCCUUCAGAGCAAGAGCUGUAAGAGCAGUGUGGUGGAAGUAUUGGUCUUCUGUGGCCAGCCGGAAAGAAGGGAAAAGAGCCAUUUGACCAAUCACGUCAGCUGUGGCCUUAUGUUUGAAGAACAGUUUUUCAAGCAACUGCUCUCAGAGGAAAGGCUGGUUCUCAGUGGGAAAUCAGGUUGCUGUUUGCUUGCCAGUGGUGACCAAGGUAAACAGCAGAGAGAAAUGAAACCCCUUCCUGGACCUUGGAUGAGCGUGAGGGAAAGACCCAGUUUCUGAAGCCUCCAGGGAGGAGCAUGGCCUCAGCAGAGGGAGAGGGAGUGUCCUCCUCUCGGGCUGAUGGUUGCUCUUCAGCAUUUGGCCAAGGUCAGACAGGUACUUAGCACUUACGAAGUGCAACCUCAAGGCAGGCUGUGAGGAACAUCUACACUUAGAGAAGUCUUUCUGGAAAGCCAAUGGAAAUUAUUUGCUCAAAUAUUAGUGCAGUCAGUGGAACUAUUAAUUAACCUGAGGGCAGUCCCUGGCCCACUGCAAGGAUGGCAGGACCCAUACAAGGGGGCAGAUAGAGAGGAAGAUAUGGGCUCACAUUCCAGCAAAGAUGUCCACGGAAGGAUGUGCUUCCCUCUAAGGAGCUAUCAGGUCCCACUGACACUGCUGCCUUCUAACAUGGAUGUUCUUCAGCCUGCAUCACUCAUCCAUAGGACACAGCUUUUCUUAUACCAUCUUCCCAAUACAGGGCUGAGGUUCCUAUGGAAAUACUGUCUGUCAAUGUUCCUACCUGUGCCGGUGGUGGGUGCUGAGUCUCAGGAGAACAGAGAUCAGGCACAUCCGUGAAAAGGGUGGCUGGUUGGGAUCGCAUCUGCAGAGCAGCACACUCACCAAGGAGCAGGUUGGAGAAGAAACAGCACUUUUGUACCCAUGGCAUGAGACAGGGGGGCCCUCAGGAGUCAGGCACCCGCUGUGGUUGGUGGGAUACAAACAAAUCCCAUGGAGACCCAAGAUGCUCCCACGCAGCAUAAAAUAUCUCUCCAGAUUUCAAGUCAACCAGCAACGGUACAAGCUUGGUCAGGGACUCCAGGCAGUGGCUGGUGGGUUCUGCAAGGCCUAGGGGCAGGAGCACUGUGGCUUCCCCAGAACAUCACAAGCAUAUAGUUGCCAGCAAGCCCCAGGUGCACACAGAAUCAAUCUGGAGCUGAAAACAUCCCCGUAGGAAGCGUACACAUCCCUGCUUAUACAGGAACAGAAACAGCAAUAACUUCAGGUCCUGUAAGCUGCAAGUUCAACUUCCAGAGAUGAGCCCUGACUUGUCAUCGCUCUCAGCAUGUUGGUGAUGAGAUCAGAGCACUUCACCAAGGACUCAUACUUCCAGCUUGACAAGGGACAGAGGUGAGUGUACUACACCUCACUGUUACUCGCCUCUCCAACUGCAGAAAGGAACCGAGAGCUGCUCUGUUUAACAUGCAGUCACAGCACUGCCAAUCUAAAAUGGCUGAUCAGUAAUACUUUAAUUGCAGUUUCAUAGAAACAAAUUGCUAUUUAAUUGCAAUAAGCUUGUCUGUGGCUUAGCUGGACUGACAAUAGGCAUACACCUGGUAGUAACAGUAAGCAACAAGGAGGGUUAUCUGGUACUGCAUGAACAGGAGACUCAGGCAGCACCAUCAAACCAGAACACAAUUUCCCACUGAUUAAAUGUAAUACCUGAAAAAAUGUAUAUACAUAAAUUUCCUAAUCUCAAUUUGAUUUUUUAUUUUAAUAGAGCUGUUCAGAACAGAUACUUGCAAAAAGCUGCACACUUCACAUACAACUACUAGCAAAAUACUUUGAUAAAAAGAUUUAAAUUGAAACAUUCUUUUGAAAUCACAGAAUCAGGUUGGAAAAGACCUCUGAAAUCAUCGAGUUAAACUGAACACCACCGUGUCAACCAGACUGUGGCACUCAGUGCUAUGUCCAGUCUUUCCUUAAACAUCUCCAGGAGCAGUGACUCCACCACCUUGAUAGCAAGGCAUACUCUGCCCAUGUGUGAGUUUGGGGUUUUUUAGUAUUUACCCCAGGUGAUGCAAAUUUUAUCGGUGUUAACUAACGGGGAAAAAGGAAGACAAACUCAAUGUGGUUAAUAUUCUGAAGAUGUGACUUAAUUUCAUAGGCUUCAUUUUGUUAAGACAUUCUCAUUUUAUAUUUCAUAAGAUACUGCAUAACCUGUUUAAAUAUUUAAAGAUAAAUCAUGUAGGACUGAAAAGACAGUAUCUUGUUGCAAAGAGAAUUUGGUUUGGAAAGGCUUAAUGUCCCACUGCCUGCCAGGAUGCGUAAAUCUCAUAACUAGACAGCUGGAUAGGUAAAAACAUUAAACCCAUUUAGAGGGCAAUCUUUUUACAAAAUUGUUUCAUUAAUAAGAGUGACAAUUUAUAUGAUUGAGAUGUUUAGAUGCAGUAUAGACAGUGCAUUUUAUCCAGGUUCAUGAGGAUGAUUUCAGAUUAGUAAUAUUUCCUUUGAUUCUUUUUUAAACAGCAUUCAUUUUUGAAAGAGAAGCUCUUACUGAAUGAUUAUUUGACUUUUCAGCAGCACUAAAUGCAGAAGGUGUAUUUCAGCCUCAGUGCAGCAAAUGCAUGUGCUAAAAGGUGAACAAGUUUUUCUUCACAGAUCUCCUUAAAAAAAAAAGUGAUUUUUUUACAUAAGGACAAAUCUAAGUGUUUCCAGUAGCCUUCUGCCCACACCUACCAUCCCCAUUACAGCCUGUUUCAUUGUGUGAAAUGCCUCUGGUUCCAAGAAAUUGUUUUACCUAAAGCAAGAAUACUACUUAAAUAUGUUCUAUUGUAUAUUCAUAGCUCCAUUAGUCCUCCUGCAAUUUAGCACAUCAAAGCAAAGGCUUCAUCACUUGCAUGUGGAUUAUGCUAACAUGAGUGACAUUUGUAAUCUUAUAGGUCUGCAACUUAAGAAAUGCUUUUAAAGUAAGCUAUUAAAUAGGUAGCUGUGCUUUACAAAUGAGUCAUAUAAUAGUUUAUUUAAAGCUGUUAAUGAACUUCAACCUCUACAUCACUAAAUGCUAUACUACAUUUCUUACUAGAAGUUAUUAGCUAUCUUCUUAGCACUUCUAGGUUAUAUUGGACAACCAAAAAUCUGUACAUGUUAGAUUUAAACACUGUACCUUGAGUGCUUAUACUGAAAGAAUAUAAAAAGAUGUCUACAGUCUCACUAAUACUUGAAUUCUAUAUUCAUAUGACUUCAAGUGUCUUUUCAAAGAUACUGAAGCAGCACAAUUUGCAGACUCUGAAGACUUUAAUGCCAGAUCAAAAAGCUUAGAAACUUAUUUUAAAUACCCACAAGUGCAUUUAAUUAAAAGUCAUACAUAGUGUCAGUCAUUUAUGUUGUGCUUUAUAUGUUAUGCAAGUAGUCUUUUGUCUUUACUGUCUGAUACUGUACGUUGCUACGUUUUCUUUUCUCUGAAACUGGGCUUCCUCAAGCACUGACGUGUUAAAAGAAAAAAUUCAGCAGCCCUCCAAGAUACUAGACACCAUGAAGUAGAACCUGAAACAAAAAUAUCUGCUGUUGGCUGUUUAUACAGAUAAAUCGAUAAAUCAGCUUUUUGUGUUAUUGGCAUCACAACAAAAAUAAGUCAAGCUUACUCCAUAACCAAGCAGAUGAGCAGUGAACACCUUCUGGAAAAGAGAACAUAAAAUAAUGCUGUGUUAUGAAUGUAUUUGUUUCCUAUAAAAGUAGAGUAUUUCUUAAUAUUGAUUUCUUUUGAAUUGCAGCAAAGGCAGAUUCGUUGCUUGCAGGUUCCUGACUGAAGGCAUACAGUGGACAGCCACAGAUCCAUGUUAGCAUUCUUGCUAAAAACAUGAAAAGUCAGAUUCUUUUUCGCAAAGGUAUUCUGCACAGAUCUACCACUAAACAGCUGAUGGGAAAAACAUGCAAAAUGAAGUUGUUCCCUUUGUAAGCUUAGAGGUGGCUCUGCUGCUUUGUGGGGACGUGGUUUUUGUUUGUUUGCUUUCAGAAAACAGAUCAUAUUUUGAGAUCAGCUAGUUCUCAGAAACAGCCCAGGAAGCAGGUUUUUCUUUCCUUAAGAUAAUCAGUGUUGAAAAGUUAAAGUCUCUCACCCCAGCAAACACAACUUUAUGUUGUUCAGAUCAGAACAGCUAUUGUAUUCCUUUUUCAUGAAUACUCAAUUCUAGUGCUCAGCAUGAGGUACAGACCUUUCAUUGGCUUUUAUUUUUUUGACCUCUUAUGGUAUAUUCAUACCCUCUUAUGCUUGCAUGCUCAGAGACACAGGCACAUCCUUGUAACAGAAGGAACUGGAAAGAAAGAGAUCACAGUACCUCUGUGUGUGCUGUAAUUCACUGCAAUGGGAAUUCUUCUUGUUACCAGAAUUAAGAAUCUCCAUGAAAAAAAAUACAAUUUUGAAGUAGUACUCGUUAUCCUUGACACAAGGAACACGGUCAAGUAGUUU